UACCGCCAUCUUUAACGCUCCCUGCUUCCGCGCUCCCCGCGUAAGCUCCGGCUUCUCCCCAGAGGCUGCUCGGGAAGCAGGAUGAAAACACUGCCACCACUUUUCAAACUACAGGGUGUGAAUAAAUGGGGUGCUGCACAAGCAGUGGUCAUAGGACCUGAGCUACAUCUGCAAGUGCUGGAAUCAACAAUUAUUACAAAGCAAGAAACUGUAAUUAUAUCUUUAAAUUAUAUAUUUAUUUUUUAAA
Molecule: long non-coding RNA, 247 nt
Organism: Galeopterus variegatus (Sunda flying lemur)
Lineage: Eukaryota; Metazoa; Chordata; Mammalia; Dermoptera; Cynocephalidae
Exons: 3
Source: RefSeq, a predicted model, not a curated record